CCUACGGGCGGCAGCAGUGAGGAAUAUUGGUCAAUGGACGAGAGUCUGAACCAGCCAAGUAGCGUGAAGGAUGACUGCCCUAUGGGUUGUAAACUUCUUUUAUAUGGGAAUAAAACGUUCCACGUGUGGGAUUUUGUAUGUACCAUAUGAAUAAGGAUCGGCUAACUCCGUGCCAGCAGCCGCGGUAAUACGGAGGAUCCGAGCGUUAUCCGGAUUUAUUGGGUUUAAAGGGAGCGUAGGUGGAUUGUUAAGUCCGUUGUGAAAGUUUGCGGCCCAACCGUAAAAUUGCAGUUGAAACUGGCAGUCUUGAGUACAGUAGAGGUGGGCGGAAUUCGUGGUGUAGCGGUGAAAUGCUUAGAUAUCACGAAGAACUCCGAUUGCGAAGGCAGUUCACUGGACUGCAACUGACACUGAGGCUCGAAAGUGUGGGUAUCAAACAGGAUUAGAUACCCUUGUAGUC
Molecule: ribosomal RNA, 460 nt
Filed under: uncultured bacterium
Lineage: Bacteria
Description: partial 16S ribosomal RNA
Rfam family: Bacterial small subunit ribosomal RNA
Source: RNAcentral